RNAcentral lists this RNase P RNA (359 nucleotides) under Muribaculaceae bacterium. RNAcentral describes it as "RNase P RNA component class A". It matches the Rfam family "Bacterial RNase P class A". Rfam says of the family: Ribonuclease P (RNase P) is a ubiquitous endoribonuclease, found in archaea, bacteria and eukarya as well as chloroplasts and mitochondria. Its best characterised activity is the generation of mature 5'-ends of tRNAs by cleaving the 5'-leader elements of precursor-tRNAs. Lineage: Bacteria; Pseudomonadati; Bacteroidota; Bacteroidia; Bacteroidales; Muribaculaceae. The record is from RNAcentral.
GCAGAAGGGUGGUCUGUCGCUUGAAGACAGGAUCUUCAAGAGGAAAGUCCGGGCAACAGAGGGCACCAUGUUUCCUAACGGGAAGCCGGCGGCGACGCCGGGGAUAAGUGACAGAAAACAACCGCCUCCCAAGGGAGGUAAGGGUGAAAAGGCGGGGUAAGAGCCCACCGGCUCCCUUGGUGACAAGGGAGGCCGCACAUCCCAUGGGUUGCAAGGCCAAAUAUACCGGCAGUCAAGGAUUGCCCGUCCAUUGCCGGGGGGUAGGCUGCUUGAGCCCGCGGGCAACCGCGAGGAUUAGAUAAAUGACAGACGCCAUCUUUUUGAUGGUACAUAACCCGGCUUACAUCCCUUCUGCUUUU